AUUGAACGCUGGCGGCAGGCCUAACACAUGCAAGUCGAACGGUAGCACAGAGAGCUUGCUCUCGGGUGACGAGUGGCGGACGGGUGAGUAAUGUCUGGGAAACUGCCCGAUGGAGGGGGAUAACUACUGGAAACGGUAGCUAAUACCGCAUAACGUCGCAAGACCAAAGUGGGGGACCUUCGGGCCCCAACCCAUCGGAGGGGCCCAGAUGGGAUUGGGUAGUAGGGGGGGUAAUGGCUCACCUAGGCGCCGAUCCCUAGCUGGUCUGAGAGGAUGACCAGCCACACUGGAACUGAGACACGGUCCAGACUCCUACGGGAGGCAGCAGUGGGGAAUAUUGCACAAUGGGCGCAAGCCUGAUGCAGCCAUGCCGCGUGUAUGAAGAAGGCCUUCGGGUUGUAAAGUACUUUCAGCGGGGAGGAAGGCGGUGGAGUUAAUAACUUCACCGAUUGACGUUACCCGCAGAAGAAGCACCGGCUAACUCCGUGCCAGCAGCCGCGGUAA
RNAcentral lists this ribosomal RNA (504 nucleotides) under uncultured bacterium. RNAcentral's name for it is "partial 16S ribosomal RNA". It matches the Rfam family "Bacterial small subunit ribosomal RNA", at positions 29 to 523 of the family's 1533-position model. The record is from RNAcentral.